RNAcentral lists this ribosomal RNA (916 nucleotides) under uncultured Bacteroidota bacterium. RNAcentral's name for it is "uncultured Bacteroidetes bacterium partial 16S ribosomal RNA". The record is from RNAcentral. Lineage: Bacteria; Pseudomonadati; Bacteroidota.
UACCUUGUUACGACUUAGCCCCAGUCACUGGUUUUACCCUAGGCCGCUCCUUGCGGUCACGGACUUCAGGUACCCCCAGCUUCCAUGGCUUGACGGGCGGUGUGUACAAGGCCCGGGAACGUAUUCACCGCGCCAUGGCUGAUGUGCGAUUACUAGCGAAUCCAACUUCACGAAGUCGGGUUGCAGACUUCGAUCCGAACUGAGACCGGCUUUCGAGAUUUGCAUCACUUCACAGUGUAGCUGCCCUCUGUACUGGCCAUUGUAGCACGUGUGUAGCCCUAGGUAUAAGGGCCGUGCUGAUUUGACGUCAUCCCCACCUUCCUCACUACUUGCGUAGGCAGUUUCCUUAGAGUCCCCACCAUUACGUGCUGGCAACUAAGGAUAGGGGUUGCGCUCGUUAUAGGACUUAACCUGACACCUCACGGCACGAGCUGACGACAACCAUGCAGCACCUUGUUAGCUGUCCCGAAGGAAAGCCCGGUUUCCCGAGCAGUCAACCAACAUUCAAACCUAGGUAAGGUUCCUCGCGUAUCAUCGAAUUAAACCACAUGCUCCUCUGCUUGUGCGGGCCCCCGUCAAUUCCUUUGAGUUUCAACCUUGCGAUCGUACUCCCCAGGUGGGACACUUAAUACUUUCGCUCAGCCGCUGGCAGUGUAUCGCCAACAGCGAGUGUCCAUCGUUUACAGCGUGGACUACCAGGGUAUCUAAUCCUGUUUGAUCCCCACGCUUUCGUGCAUGAGCGUCAGUUGUUGCUUGGUAAGCUGUCUUCACGAUCGGUGUUCUGUGUCAUAUCUAAGCAUUUCACCGCUACAUGACACAUUCCGCCUACCUCAACUACACUCAAGAUUAGCAGUAUCAACGGCAGUUCUACAGUUAAGCUGUAGGCUUUCACCACUGACUUACUAAUCCGCCUGCG